RNAcentral lists this ribosomal RNA (497 nucleotides) under uncultured bacterium. Its description in RNAcentral is "partial 16S ribosomal RNA". It matches the Rfam family "Bacterial small subunit ribosomal RNA", at positions 28 to 507 of the family's 1533-position model. The record is from RNAcentral.
GAUGAACGCUGGCGGCGUGCCUAAUACAUGCAAGUCGAGCGAACAGACGAGGAGCUUGCUCCUCUGACGUUAGCGGCGGACGGGUGCGUAACACGUGGAUAACCUACCUAUAAGACUGGGAUAUCUUCGGGAAACCGGCGCUAAUCCCGGAUAAUAUAUUGAACCGCAUGGUUCAAUAGUGAAUGACGGUUUUGCUGUCACUUAUAGAUGGAUCCGCGCCGCAUUAGCUAGUUGGUAAGGUAACGGCUUACCAAGGCAACGAUGCGUAGCCGACCUGAGAGAGUGAUCGGCCGCACUGGAACUGGGACGCGGUCCAGACUCCUACGGGAGGCAACAGUAGGGAAUCUUCCGCAAUAGGCGAAAGCCUGACGGAGCAACGCCGCGUGAGUGAUAAAGGUCUUCGGAUCGUAAAACUCUGUUAUUAGGGAAGAACAAAUGUGUAAGUAACUAUGCACGUCUUGACGGUACCUAAUCAGAAAGCCACGGCUAACUACGUG